Molecule: long non-coding RNA, 108 nt
Organism: Lepidothrix coronata (blue-crowned manakin)
Lineage: Eukaryota; Metazoa; Chordata; Aves; Passeriformes; Pipridae
Exons: 3
Source: RefSeq, a predicted model, not a curated record
UGGACAGCAGAGAAAAAAAAGACAAUGAAAGGCUCCUGGGUCAAGAUAAGGACAGGGAGAGAUCAAUCACCAGUUACCAUCACAGUCAAAACAGAUUCAACCUGGGGA